AUUGAACGCUGGCGGCAUGCUUUACACAUGCAAGUCGAACGGUAACAGGUUAAGCUGACGAGUGGCGAACGGGUGAGUAAUGCAUCGGAACGUGCCCGAUCGUGGGGGAUAACGCAGCGAAAGCUGCGCUAAUACCGCAUACGAUCUGAGGAUGAAAGCGGGGGACCGUAAGGCCUCGCGCGAUCGGAGCGGCCGACGUCAGAUUAGGUAGUUGGUGGGGUAAAGGCCCACCAAGCCGACGAUCUGUAGCUGGUCUGAGAGGACGACCAGCCACACUGGGACUGAGAUACGGCCCAGACUCCGACGGGAGGCAGCAGUGGGGAAUUUUGGACAAUGGGCGAAAGCCUGAUCCAGCAAUGCCGCGUGCAGGAAGAAGGCCUUCGGGUUGUAAACUGCUUUUGUACGGAGCGAAAAGGUCCUUUCUAAUACAAGGGGCUCAUGACGGUACCGUAAGAAUAAGCACCGGCUAACUACGUGCCAGCCGCCGCAGUAA
RNAcentral lists this ribosomal RNA (493 nucleotides) under uncultured bacterium. RNAcentral describes it as "partial 16S ribosomal RNA". It matches the Rfam family "Bacterial small subunit ribosomal RNA", at positions 29 to 523 of the family's 1533-position model. The record is from RNAcentral.